UACGUAGGGGGCAAGCGUUGUCCGGAUUUAUUGGGCGUAAAGAGCGUGUAGGCGGCCGUACAGGUCAGCUGUGAAAACUCGAGGCUCAACCUCGAGACGUCGGUUGAAACCGUACGGCUAGAGUCCGGAAGAGGAGAGUGGAAUUCCCGGUGUAGCGGUGAAAUGCGCAGAUAUCGGGAAGAACACCCGUGGCGAAGGCGGCUCUCUGGGGCGGUACUGACGCUGAGACGCGAAAGCGUGGGGAGCAAACAGG
Molecule: ribosomal RNA, 253 nt
Filed under: uncultured bacterium
Lineage: Bacteria
Description: partial 16S ribosomal RNA
Rfam family: Bacterial small subunit ribosomal RNA
Source: RNAcentral